This 379-nucleotide ribosomal RNA is filed under the name uncultured bacterium. RNAcentral describes it as "partial 16S ribosomal RNA". It matches the Rfam family "Bacterial small subunit ribosomal RNA", at positions 338 to 734 of the family's 1533-position model. The record is from RNAcentral.
CCUACGGGAGGCAGCAGUGGGGAAUAUUGCACAAUGGGCGCAACCCUGAACCAGCCACGCCGCGUGAACGAUGAAGUAUUUCGGUAUGUAAAGCUCUAUCAGCAGGGAAGAAAAUGACGGUACGUGACUAAGAAGCCACGGAUAACUACGAGCCAGUAGCCGCGGUAACACGUAGGAGGCAAGGGUUAUCCGGAUUUACUGGGUGUAAAGGGAGCGUAGAGGGUUCUGAAAGCCAGAUGUGAAAGCCCUGGGCUCAACCCCGAGACUGCAUUUGAAACUGUAAGGCUUGAGUGUCGGAGAGGCAGGCGGAAUUCCUAGUGUAGCGGUGAAAUGCGUAGAUAUUAGGAGGAACACCAGUGGCGAAGGCAGCCUGCUGGAC